GCUCUUUGGAAGCAAAUUUCCAAUCCCUGCUCACUUCUUGCCCCCAACGCUUUUGCUCUUUGACAUUGCUUGCUGCCAUCCUGCCUUCAACCUCAAAUCAGGUUUCUGCCUGUGAUUCAAUCUCUGGCUCCCUAUGAGAAAUCUUUUUUAUAUAAAAUUAAUAUAUAAAUAAAUUUGCUCUUGGAGAGAUGCAGUGUGGAACAGAACCUGCCAGGCUCUCUAACGUCCAUCACAAAGAAAGACUGCAGAGGGGAGGGGGAAGGCAGAGCUUUAUCCUCCAUAGGGAAGCAGAGAAUUCAUAGUGAUCUUAUUGCAGAUGUAAAAUUAGGUCAGCGGCUCUGUAAACUGAUUAAAGCUCAUGCUUCACGCUUCCAAGGAAAACAGCCAAUACAAAAGGGAAUGAUCCCUGGCUCAAGAUGAGAAGGAAGGAGAGCUCUCUAUGUUCGUAGUCCAGCCAUAUAGGAUGCUUGGCCAAAAUGAAGGUAUAGAAAAGGAACAACCAAAGAAAGAACAGGACAUACUGGAUCUUUCUGGGUAUCAUCAAACUUCUCCAUCCAAGAAUAAGGGACAGCAGCAUCUCUUUGACAUCCAUAGCCCAUUUCUGCUUUGCCAAUAUCACUUGUGCAUCUGGGGCCACCAAUGCAUCCUAUCCUAGCAAGUAUCAAUGGGAAUAAAGAAGAAACUUAGAAAACGACAAAAUUCAAGAAGAGCUGAAGCUCUGGAGCUAGCUUUGGUGGAGAAAGAAUGAUGCGGGAUGUUGGACUAAGCGAGAAAUGCAUAAGAAGCUGCUGAGUUUAACACAAAGCCAUAUAGAGGUCAUUUCUAUAGAGCACAAUAAAUACCAUUAUGUGUUAGACGGAUGGAUGGAUCACUUUUCUCCCCUUGCAAGGACCCUGGUCUAACCCCAGAUAUCAUCUCUUGGACUCUGCUAGCAGCCAUGGAAAUAGUACCCUGCUUCCAUCCCCGCCUCUUCUCAUUCCAUUUUUCAAGUAUAGACACAGCUUAAGGGACAAACAAGAUUCAAAACAUGAGAUUUCCAAAAGUAAAUUUUCAAGGUACUCCUAUGGGAAAGCGCCGUUGAGAAUAUCCUUCUCAGGUUUAGCACAGUCCCUCAAGGUAAGCACCUUCAACCCUGCUUCGACUGCAAAGAGUUCUUUAAGAAGGUAUGACUGAGAGGUCUCCGCUUUUCCUUCUUCCUAUUAAAAAUGGCUCUUAGAUGCUUUUAUUCUUAGUGAGGCCAUCCUAUUGUAGCACCAAUAUAGUUAUAUAAGCGCAUCGUUUCAUGCUCUAUUCACCUUCUGAAUCUUUUAACCCCACCUCCCUCAGCUGAGAAAAGAAAUACUAUGGGUUUAAAUCUAUCCUCUAUCAGCUGCAGCACGAUAAUUCUUACCCUAGGGCCCCAAACCCUCAUUUCAGACGGACUAAUCCAAACCUCUUUUGGAGGCAAUGCUAUUUCCUUCACUACCUGGUUUGGCCGUGUGCUGAGCCCCAGUUAUAUUUAGGCAGUGGAGGGGAAAAAUAGGGAUAUUAACCUCUAACACUGAUGAAAAUAAUAGCCACAAUAAAAUCCAGAUGAAAAACGCAGGGGUAGUAAUUAUUCGGCUCUACCUUACCCCAGAGGAAAUAGUUUUCAGAUAGAGCCUUAGAAAUUUGUAAAAGGCUGCUCCAUUUUUUAAUAAGGCAGGUGUAGGGGCUUUCUGGAGGCAGAGGAGGGUUUGCCAGAGUCUCAGACAAUGUGCCAUUAAGUGAUGGGGCCCCCAGUAGAACCCUGCUCCUCUCCCUCAAUUCUGGAGAGGUUGAAAAAUCUGAGGAUGUAGACUCUUGGAGCCACUUCCUUUUUCUGAUCUAUCUGGCAGCAGCCUAGUGUGGAAAAUAUACUAGGCUAUAUUUCAAAUAACCUAAACCAACUGGCAAAAGGUACUAAAUUCUUGCUUUUGUGUCUGGCUCUUAAACUCCUGCAGACCUGACUUAACAGACAAGAGAGGGUCAUAAAACUGAACCUGUGAAACAAAAAUAGACCUUUCGGGACUUCUCAUACACACACAGCAGGGAUGCCAAAAUCGCUUUCAUUUUUUCAUGUUGCAAAUCGCGUUGUGCUUCCUCCACGUCCUCCUGGGUCUGAGCAGGCAUGGGGAGAAGGCGACUUUCUUUGCACAGCAUGUCUAUGACUGAAGUGUGCAGGGCUAGGAGAGCUUAAAUUGUUAGGGUCCCGUCUUUAUGUAAAACAACAACUCCACCUUCCCACAACCUCUCCAUUUCCGUAAUUAAUUUCAGACAGCUAAGACGACAUGCCCCAGUUCUAUGCGCUACUCUAACUGCUGUGGUUUAAAAAAGGCUUUAUGCUUUAAGGUUUCCUCUUUCAGAAAUCAAAUAAUUUAGAUCUUUAAAAAAACAUACACAAGUGCCUUCUGGCUAUCGACGACAGGGAGUAGCAAUAAUAGAAAAUAAUAAUAGUAAAAAUAUGCAACCGCGUUAAUGCCAGGGACCUGGGGAUGCAAUAGACAGAAAUGAAAUUAGAGGGGAAAUCAUAAUAUUGCUGAAGUGCUCGAAUGCGGCUCUCACACUAAGACCAGGGGGAUUGGGAUAAGGUAAAGUUAAUUGCGUUUCCAGAUGACAAACCUCUCACCUCUGAACUGAAUGGCUCUUUAUAAAAGCUAUCAGUAAUAAACUGUAAAUCUCAGCCAUGAUUGCAAAUAAAGGUCAUCCCUUUCAUGCUGCCACUUUCCUAGGCCUUAUUACAUUCCCGCCUGAACCGUUCGCACUUCUUAAGGUGUGCCAGCUGUCCAUAUAAGCAAUCAGUACGGCCUGCUUGCUUUAUUUUUUUUAAGGAACAAUAUUAUCAGAUUUACAUCCAUGCACAUUGUGUACCUGAAUUGGGCCA
This 2881-nucleotide long non-coding RNA is filed under the name Homo sapiens (human). RNAcentral's name for it is "HSALNT0386886". The record is from RNAcentral. Lineage: Eukaryota; Metazoa; Chordata; Mammalia; Primates; Hominidae.